GUACUGUAUUACAGCACAUAUACUAAAACUGGAACGAUACAGAGAAGAUUAUCAUGGCCCCUGCGCAAGGAUGACAUGCAAAUUCAUGCAUUACUGGUAGCUCUC
Chelonoidis abingdonii (Abingdon island giant tortoise) is the source of this 105-nucleotide small nuclear RNA. The record is from Ensembl. Lineage: Eukaryota; Metazoa; Chordata; Testudines; Testudinidae.